GUGAGGAAUCUUGCGCAAUGGGCGAAAGCCUGACGCAGCAACGCCGCGUGGAUGAUGAAGGCCUUCGGGUCGUAAAAUCCUGUCGGGUGGGAAGAAAUGACAUCGGACUAACACUCCGAUGUCUUGACUGUACCACCAGAGGAAGCCCCGGCUAACUCCGUGCCAGCAGCCGCGGUAAUACGGAGGGGGCCAGCGUUGUUCGGAAUUAUUGGGCGUAAAGGGCGCGUAGGCGGUUAUGCAAGUCGGUUGUGAAAUCCCCUGGCUUACCCAGGGAACUGCUUCCGAUACUGCAUGACUUGAGUCCGGGAGAGGAGAGUGGAAUUCCCAGUGUAGCGGUGGAAUGCGUAGAUAUUGGGAGGAACACCGGUGGCGAAGGCGGCUCUCUGGACCGGUACUGACGCUGAGGCGCGAAAGCCAGGGGAGCAAACAGGAUUAGAUACCCUUGUAGUCC
RNAcentral lists this ribosomal RNA (451 nucleotides) under uncultured bacterium. RNAcentral describes it as "bacterial SSU rRNA". It matches the Rfam family "Bacterial small subunit ribosomal RNA", at positions 354 to 796 of the family's 1533-position model. The record is from RNAcentral.